Non-coding RNA from Paramuricea clavata, 669 nucleotides. The record is from the annotation of a GenBank genome assembly. Lineage: Eukaryota; Metazoa; Cnidaria; Anthozoa; Malacalcyonacea; Plexauridae.
AAAAAAAUGGAAAUUUUAUGAUGAGAUGGAUCAGGUUUGUGGCAACCGUGCUACAUCAACUCCUGUGUGCUUGAUUGAUUCCAGUAUGACUAAUGACAGUUCAGGUAAAAAUUAUAGUAAUUUCAAUGAUCUUUGAUGCCAAACACAUACAAUCCUGGUUCAAACAUUGUAGCAUACCUAUAGGCUAUCAGCAAAAGUUGUAGUCAUGCAGAGUUGGUUUUCUUUAUAUUUGACAUUAUUAGUCUUCCUGUUGGGGGUGCAAAAUUAUUAUCCAGGAAGCUACAUCUAGAUAUCCUGAUAUUUACCUAAAUAAUCAAGACUCCACAGUGUGGUGCCAUAGUGUGCCAGUUAAUAAUUUUUCCUGGAUAGUACACUGCUCCCGAGGGCAUAGGUGUUGUAAAUUAUAUUUAAUAUUUGGAUACUAAAUUUUGCAAAAAAUAUUUUUAAAAUAUCACAACCAGGGAUUAAAUAUAAUGACACAGAAAACAAAGCCAGCACAAUUUUAGACUUCCUGUACAUUUUAUGUAGUGUUUUGUUUUAAUAGAUUUAGACAGUAAUGAUGAUGACAUAUUUGAUGAACAGAUGAGUAGUAAUACUGGUGAUGACAAUGGAGAUGAGCAAGACAAUGAAGAUGGUGGUUUAGGUUUAACUGCUCAGAUGGAAGAGAAA